UACGUAGGGUGCGAGCGUUGUCCGGAAUUAUUGGGCGUAAAGAGCUCGUAGGCGGUCUGUCGCGUCGAAUGUGAAAACCCGGGGCUCAACUCCGGGCUUGCAUUCGAUACGGGCAGGCUAGAGUGUGGUAGGGGAGAUCGGAAUUCCUGGUGUAGCGGUGAAAUGCGUAGAUAUCAGGAGGAAUACCUAUGGCGAAAGCAGGUAUCUGGGCCAUCACUGACGCUGAGCUGCGAAAGCUAGGGGAGCAAACAGG
Molecule: ribosomal RNA, 253 nt
Filed under: uncultured bacterium
Lineage: Bacteria
Description: partial 16S ribosomal RNA
Rfam family: Bacterial small subunit ribosomal RNA
Source: RNAcentral